GACACAGACACCGGGAGCGGCAGAGGCGGCCCUCUCUUCAUGAUAUCAAGACACCACUGGAAGCUCCAGGUUCAUCUGUUAGCUGAGCCACUCAGUGGAGAGCUUCUCUUUAUAGUGCCGGCAAAAUCCCCAGAGUGACUUCUGACUUGAACCUGCGGUGUGCUUUGAGAGAUCCUCCACCAGAUCAUCUCAGCUUUGGUCCCUUGGAACCACCCACUAGCAGCAGUGAUAAAUUGCAGGGCCAGAGGACUGCUGGUGAUAAAAAUCUGUCGCGACAACUGUGGACGGCUCUGAGAUCCCAGGUGCUGCGUGACUGCUUAUCGUGAGUGGGGUUUUUUUUUAACCUCUCACAUGCGUGGGUUGGAAGUUGUGUAAAUUAUGAUUCAGAAUGCAAAGAUGCUGUAUCCUGGUUAAGCUGUUGUGUGUUUAUAUGUGUUUGGUAUUUGGUAGAUAGAAAAUGCUAGCUUACAUCUGCCUUUAAAGCAUUAUCAUGAAGGAUAUACCCACACAUACGUAUAUUUCCAUUUUUAAUCCUGGAUGAAUUUGUAUGUUACGGAAAAGAAAACCGUGCAACCAUUGUAAUUUUUAAGAAAUUGUGUUCUUUUCUGUGGUGACUCUAAUUAAAUAGAAACCUAAAGAAAUUUACUUAAAAAAACCAAAUAGGAGAAGUGAUAAUGAAAUAACCAGACUUGCUUCCUAGAAAAUAGGCAAUAAGUAUGAGCCCCCCCACCCCCUACUUUCUUAAUCUGCUCAUUUGGCAUGGGAAAUUGAAGAGGAUAUUGUGCAGCAAGUAGGUGGAAGUUUUUUUUUUUAAUUCAGAAAAGAUUAUUUUGAAAUUCUACUAUGGUAUAAUGAGGGCAGCAGCACCUGCAAUAGUGAGUUUCCUGUAAAGGUAGGAACUUUUCUACUUUGUUGAUGUGGGUCUCAAAAGCAUUUCACUGAAUUUUUAGGAAAUUGGCUUUUCGGGAAGGGAAAUCUACUGAUUUAUGAAUUUCUUUGGAAUUUUUCAAAAUAUGCUAAUAGCCCCAGGUGUGAGCCAUCCAAAAUUUGUAGGCAAGGUAGUAUGGCUUGAGCCCUGGUAAUACUUUUUGUCAUGGUUUGUAAACAAGGCAUGGAUAUUAAUCUAAUAUUUACCCUGCCAAAUAGUUUUAUAUGAGGAACAAUGGCAAAAUUAUUAAAGUAAAGAGAAUUCCUGUUGUGGUUCAGUGGGUUAAGAAUCUGACCUAGUAUCUAUGAGGAUGUGGGUUUGAUCCCUGGCCUCGCUCAGUAGUUAAGGAUCUGGCAUGGCGUGGCUGUGGCUAUGGCUGUGGCCGGCAGCUGCAGCUCUGAUUUGACCCCUAGCCUGGGAACUUCCAUAGGCUGAGGGUGUGGCCCUAAAAAGAAAAAAAAAA
Molecule: long non-coding RNA, 1391 nt
Filed under: Sus scrofa (pig)
Lineage: Eukaryota; Metazoa; Chordata; Mammalia; Artiodactyla; Suidae
Description: lncRNA (ENSSSCG00035018847.1)
Source: RNAcentral